RNAcentral lists this unclassified non-coding RNA (349 nucleotides) under soil metagenome. RNAcentral describes it as "partial contains 5.8S ribosomal RNA, internal transcribed spacer 2, and large subunit ribosomal RNA". The stretch from base 1 to 120 matches the Rfam family "5.8S ribosomal RNA", at positions 35 to 154 of the family's 154-position model. The record is from RNAcentral.
GAUGAAGAACGCAGCGAAAUGCGAUACGUAAUGUGAAUUGCAGAAUUCAGUGAAUCAUCGAGUCUUUGAACGCACAUUGCGCCCCCUGGUAUUCCGGGGGGCAUGCCUGUCCGAGCGUCAUUGCUGCCCUCAAGCACGGCUUGUGUGUUGGGCCUCCGCCCCCCGGCUCCCGGGGGGCGGGCCCGAAAGGCAGCGGCGGCACCGCGUCCGGUCCUCGAGCGUAUGGGGCUUCGUCACCCGCUCCGUAGGCCCGGCCGGCGCCCGCCGGCGACCCCCCUCAAUCUUUCCGGGUUGACCUCGGAUCAGGUAGGGAUACCCGCUGAACUUAAGCAUAUCAAUAAGCGGAGGA